Molecule: long non-coding RNA, 746 nt
Organism: Oreochromis aureus
Lineage: Eukaryota; Metazoa; Chordata; Actinopteri; Cichliformes; Cichlidae
Source: Ensembl
GCCAAACGAAGCAAGCCUCGACACAGUGCUUCUGAACCAGUGUGUUGUUUUUUUCGACACACGCUCCGGAGCGUCAGCUUCAAGCGGGCCAUCACUAGUAGAAAGUGUGUAAUGAACCGCUGAUCUGUACCAUAAGUCAUCCUUGCGGGGGUUGUCGGAACUGUAUGCGCAGUCGCACUAAGGACAGAUGUGCUCAGAGGCAUGCCCCGUAACGUGUAUGAGAGGUCUGUCGUGCGGCAGGAAUAAGUUGUACAAAGUCCAUCUUAGACAUGUGUGUCAUGCAAGCUAGCAGCAUCCCAUGAGAAACGGGCCGAAGUGUUUAAGUGUUCACCGGAGUUUGCACCCUUGGCAAGCGGACUGAGUUUUCACGGUGCUCAAUGUCCAGAGAAUGAGGCGUGUGUGGUGAGGAAAUAAAUGGCUGCACCCGUUAGAGACUCUUCUGUCAUUCUUGAUGCCAAGGGCUGCUACAAAACGGUGUGGGGAGCUACAGCCCCCGUCCCCCAGUGCAUGAAGCAGGCAUGGAGAAGAUCCAGGCCCCAGAGUGCGAGAGCCCAAGGACGAUCAUCGGAGGGGCAAAACCGUGCCACCCUCCUGGGAAGAGCUGAGGAGAGCCCCAGACAAGGGGUCACCCGGCAGGGAGUGUGGUGAGGGGAGAUAGGCCUCCAUACCUUGGAGGGCCUGAGAUGUACCCAGACAGAGAGGUGGAGUCUAAGACCCAACCUGACAUAUAGACAGACGAACAGGCA